Molecule: ribosomal RNA, 497 nt
Filed under: uncultured bacterium
Lineage: Bacteria
Description: partial 16S ribosomal RNA
Rfam family: Bacterial small subunit ribosomal RNA
Source: RNAcentral
GAUGAACGCUGGCGGCGUGCCUAAUACAUGCAAGUCGAGCGAACAGACGAGGAGCUUGCUCCUCUGACGUUAGCGGCGGACGGGUGAGUAAUACGUGGAUAACCUAUCUAUAAGACUGGGAUAACUUCGGGAAAACGGAUCUAAUACAGGAUAAUAUAUUGAACCGCAUGGUUCAAUAGUGAAAGACGGUUUUGCUGUCACUUAUAGAUGGAUCCGCGCCGCAUUAGCUAGUUGGUAAGGUAACGGCUUACCAAGGCAACGAUGCGUAGCCGACCUGAGAGGAUGACCAGCCACACUGGAACUGAGACACGGCCCAGACUCCUACGGGAGGCAGCAGUAGGGAAUCUUCCGCAAUGGGCGAAAGCCUGACGGAGCAACGCCGCGUGAGGGAUGAAGGUCUUCGGAUCGUAAACCGCUGUUAUUAGGGAAGAACUCAUGUGUAAUUAACUAUGCACGUCUUGACGGUACCUAAUCAGAAAGCCACGGCUAACUACGUG